AUACGGAGGGUGCAAGCGUUAAUCGGAAUCACUGGGCGUAAAGCGCGCGUAGGCCGCCUUCUAAGUCGGACGUGAAAGCCCUCGGCUCAACCGAGGAACUGCGUUCGAAACUGGGAGGCUUGAGUCCUGGAGAGGGUGGCGGAAUUCCGGGUGUAGGAGUGAAAUCCGUAGAGAUCUGGAGGAACACCAGUGGCGAAGGCGACUACCUGGACCGAUACUGACACUGAGGAGCGAAAGCGUGGGGAGC
This 247-nucleotide ribosomal RNA is filed under the name uncultured bacterium. Its description in RNAcentral is "partial 16S ribosomal RNA". It matches the Rfam family "Bacterial small subunit ribosomal RNA", at positions 523 to 769 of the family's 1533-position model. The record is from RNAcentral.